AGAUUGAACGCUGGCGGCAUGCCUUACACAUGCAAGUCGAAUGGCAGCAUGACGUGUAGCAAUACACGUUGAUGGCGAGUGGCGAACGGGUGAGUAAUAUAUCGGAACAUGUCCUGUAGCGGGGGAUAACCUAUCGGAAAGAUGGACUAAUACCGCAUUACGCUCUAUGGAGGAAAGCGGGGGUCGCAAGGACCUCGCACUAUAGGAGUGGCCGAUAUCGGAUUAGGCUAGUUGGUGGGGUAAAGCCCACCAAGGCGACGAUCCGUAGCUGGUCUGAGAGGAUGAUCAGCCACACUGGAACUGAGACACGGUCCAGACUCCUACGGGAGCAGCAGUGGGAAUUUGGACUAAGUGGGCGCGAAGCCUGAUCCAGCCAAUGACCGCGUGAGUGAAAGAGGCCUUGGGUUGUAAAGGCUUACGUUU
This 423-nucleotide ribosomal RNA is filed under the name uncultured soil bacterium. Its description in RNAcentral is "bacterial SSU rRNA". It matches the Rfam family "Bacterial small subunit ribosomal RNA", at positions 26 to 439 of the family's 1533-position model. The record is from RNAcentral.